Long non-coding RNA from Macadamia integrifolia, 2303 nucleotides. RefSeq lists it as uncharacterized. NCBI's taxonomy places the organism in Eukaryota, Viridiplantae, Streptophyta, Magnoliopsida, Proteales, Proteaceae. The transcript has 2 exons. The record is from RefSeq and is a predicted model, not a curated record.
AGCAAGAUCUCAUCUCACCGAGGACGUAGGCAAUCUUUCCGAACCUCGUAAACUUGUGUGCACUUCUUUUUCUUGUUUUUUCAUCAUCUUCUGCAUCGUUUUAGGGUUGCGUUUCUACAAUAGCAAUUCCCCUACCCCUUUUUCUCCUACAAUUGAUUCUCACCUCUUCUCUUUCUUUAUUUUUUUUUAUUUUUAUCUUUGUCUGUUGUUCAAAGUGAGGUUGAAGCCCUCUAAGAUUGCUGAUUAGAAGACACACAAAAAGGCUAUUGAAUCCAGUUACAGGGUUUUCCCGGCAAGAUAUUUUGAAUGUGUAUCUCCCAAACCAGAUCUCUGAUUUCUGCAGGAUUUUGCGGAUUUGUUGAGGACCUUAGGAGGACCAAUCAAUUCAUAUUUGAUGAUCAUCCGACGUUUCCUACUCAAGUUCUUGAAGAAUCACCAAAAGUUUAUUUUUUCUUGCAACCAACAUUAGUCUCAAUCCAAUUGCCGGAAUUUGUUCAGAUUUUUAUGGUUUGUUCCCUCAUAUGAUCUCCAUUCCAUCUAAAUUUCAACCUCAACAGAGCCCCAUUUGGUGAGAUACAAUUUAUGCGAGUUUUGAUCUAAAUCUGAGUCGACUUUCAGAUCUGUUCUUACUGUGGAAUCUGAACUUGAUUUGUGUGUUGGAGUUGAUGAUGGUUCCUACUGGGACUGAUAACCCCUUGGUAAUUUAGUCUAACAUCGACUAUGCUGCUUAUGUUUACAGUUUUCUUUAUUCUCUCAUACCUCUCUUUGAUUCUGGUUAAAGCUGUGGGUUUCCACAUUACUCUUUUCUGGGAGAUUGCUUUUGAAUGUAUAUUCUCUUCCAUUAUCUUUGUUGAAGCUCUAAUAUUUUUUUGUUUCUUUUUAACUUGUUUAUGUUAAUUUAGUCCCCUAACUUACCCCUCUUAUUUGGACACACACACACACACACACACACACACAUAUAUAUUAUGUGGAGUAGCCUGCGAUCAUAACACACUAUCGCAGGCUGCCUCCCACACAUGGUUUUUUUGUGUGUGUGUGUGUGUGUGUUGUCCUUGCCUGCAUUUUCUGGUGACAAAAAGGAUUCUUUGCCACAUUGCUGGUUGCUGCGAAUGAUAAAGUAAAUUUCCAAGUAGACAAUAGAGACUGCUCAUGCUAUCAAUUGAGGUUACUCAUUAGUGCAAAGUGUGCCAUUUGUUUUGCAAAGAGUGAUUCACUGAUAUUGCUCCUGCUUUAUCUUAGUUGGAAGUAAGGUUGAGAGUAUUCCACCCUUCAUACAAACUGGCUAUAGUCAUUGAGUUGCAUACUGUGCACAGUUCAAAUUUCAAGAGUACUAAUUAUCUUAGCCAGAGCUUGGGGUUUCUUCACAUGACGAGGUUCUUUGGGAAGAAAAAAGGGGGGGGGCAUUGUGUGGAUAUUUUCUCAUGCCUUUUAGCCAUAAAUGUCCAAAAAAAUUCGUUCAUAAAUUUCAAUUUUUUUUUUGCACGACUUUUCUGGUGUGUUUCAGAAAGAUUUGUUAUAGCAUCCCCACCUCAAAAUCUCCUCCAAAAAAAACUAAGAAUCUGACUAGAUGAUUAUGAUGACGAAGUUAAUACAAAGAAUAAAGCAGGGCAGCAUACUGAACGUGGUUUUGCACUGAUGCAUUAACGGCAUUUGGUCCCUGUUCAUAUAAAUUUGAAACAUUGUGGUAGAGUGUUAAUCUAUGGACUGAUCUCUCACCUCUCUUCUUUUCUUCUCGGACGAGUACAACAAAUUGGUUAAAUAGGAGUCAACACUGGAGUUCAAUCCUUUUAAACUGCCACUUUGGCACGUUCAGGUACAUUGUUCUUCCUACCCUCAGGUACAAUCUCAAUGGGUUAUUGUUUCUAGUGCAUUUCACAGAUUAAUGAAUCUCAAGUAAAAAGAUGAUUGGUCGGGGGUGGGGAGGCGCAAGUCAAGACAAUGCCAAGUCAAAAAUCACAUAUAACUAGUUUCUGUGCUCUUUGCUCCAGUCUUCAGUGAUUCUCCUCUUCACAGAUCUUCUAGUUGGUUCAUCCCUCUCUCUGAUGAUUAACACUUCUUGUUGCAUCUCUGCAGUCGAUUUCUCAUCCAAAAGUGAGAUUCUGUGAACUUGGAACACAUCACUUGUCCAUAUUUAGUCAUUGGUGUGGGUGAAGUUUAGCCCAUUUAUUUAUAGUUCAGUCAAAUGUAUGGGGCACGUGUUGGGUACCUAAGGGAGUUCAAGUACUUUAUCAUGAUAGAUGAUUACUCAAGUGUAACAUGGAUCUAUUUGUAAGGGACAAAUGUGAAUUCUUAUCUGUAUUCAA